RNAcentral lists this unclassified non-coding RNA (353 nucleotides) under Hevea brasiliensis (rubber tree). Lineage: Eukaryota; Viridiplantae; Streptophyta; Magnoliopsida; Malpighiales; Euphorbiaceae. The record is from RNAcentral.
CAGUGAAGCAAUAGUAGCUUUUGUCAAGGCCCUUUGCAAAGUUUCAAUGUCAGAACUACAGUCUCCGACAGAUCCUCGUGUAUUUAGCCUUACAAAAAUUGUUGAAGUUGCGCACUAUAACAUGAACCGUAUCAGAUUAGUGUGGUCCCACAUAUGGAGUGUUCUUUCAGAGUUCUUUGUGGCUGUUGGUUUGUCAGAAAAUCUUUCAGUUGCAAUUUUUGUUAUGGACUCAUUACGACAACUUGCUAUGAAGUUUUUAGAACGAGAGGAACUGGCGAACUACAACUUUCAGAAUGAAUUUUUGAGACCAUUUGUUAUUGUUAUGCAACAAAGUAAUUCUGCUGAAAUCAGGG